This 1034-nucleotide ribosomal RNA is filed under the name Curtobacterium sp. SB16-01. RNAcentral's name for it is "bacterial SSU rRNA". It matches the Rfam family "Bacterial small subunit ribosomal RNA", at positions 53 to 1100 of the family's 1533-position model. The record is from RNAcentral. Lineage: Bacteria; Bacillati; Actinomycetota; Actinomycetes; Micrococcales; Microbacteriaceae.
CCAUGCAGUCGAACGAUGAUGCCCAGCUUGCUGGGUGGAUUAGUGGCGAACGGGUGAGUAACACGUGAGUAACCUGCCCCUGACUCUGGGAUAAGCGUUGGAAACGACGUCUAAUACUGGAUAUGAUCACUGGCCGCAUGGUCUGGUGGUGGAAAGAUUUUUUGGUUGGGGAUGGACUCGCGGCCUAUCAGCUUGUUGGUGAGGUAAUGGCUCACCAAGGCGACGACGGGUAGCCGGCCUGAGAGGGUGACCGGCCACACUGGGACUGAGACACGGCCCAGACUCCUACGGGAGGCAGCAGUGGGGAAUAUUGCACAAUGGGCGAAAGCCUGAUGCAGCAACGCCGCGUGAGGGAUGACGGCCUUCGGGUUGUAAACCUCUUUUAGUAGGGAAGAAGCGAAAGUGACGGUACCUGCAGAAAAAGCACCGGCUAACUACGUGCCAGCAGCCGCGGUAAUACGUAGGGUGCAAGCGUUGUCCGGAAUUAUUGGGCGUAAAGAGCUCGUAGGCGGUUUGUCGCGUCUGCUGUGAAAUCCCGAGGCUCAACCUCGGGCUUGCAGUGGGUACGGGCAGACUAGAGUGCGGUAGGGGAGAUUGGAAUUCCUGGUGUAGCGGUGGAAUGCGCAGAUAUCAGGAGGAACACCGAUGGCGAAGGCAGAUCUCUGGGCCGUAACUGACGCUGAGGAGCGAAAGCAUGGGGAGCGAACAGGAUUAGAUACCCUGGUAGUCCAUGCCGUAAACGUUGGGCGCUAGAUGUAGGGACCUUUCCACGGUUUCUGUGUCGUAGCUAACGCAUUAAGCGCCCCGCCUGGGGAGUACGGCCGCAAGGCUAAAACUCAAAGGAAUUGACGGGGGCCCGCACAAGCGGCGGAGCAUGCGGAUUAAUUCGAUGCAACGCGAAGAACCUUACCAAGGCUUGACAUACACCGGAAACGGCCAGAGAUGGUCGCCCCCUUGUGGUCGGUGUACAGGUGGUGCAUGGUUGUCGUCAGCUCGUGUCGUGAGAUGUUGGGUUAAGUCCCGCAACGAGCGCA